UAUGACAACCUGGUUGAUCCUGCCAGUAGUCAUAUGCUUGUCUCAAAGAUUAAGCCAUGCAUGUCUCAGUACAAGCCAAAUUAAGGUGAAACCGCGAAAGGCUCAUUAAAUCAGUUAUGGUUCCUUAGAUCGUACCCACAAUUACUUGGAUAACUGUGGUAAUUCUAGAGCUAAUACAUGCAAACAGAGCUCCGACCGGAGACGGAAGGAGUGCUUUUAUUAGAUCAAGACCAAUCGGUGGCGGGUUCGCUCGUCAUCGUACAACUUGGUGACUCUGAAUAACUUUACGCUGAUCGCACGGUCUUCGCGCCGGCGACGCAUCUUUCAAAUGUCUGCCUUAUCAACUGUCGAUGGUAGGUUCUGCGCCUACCAUGGUUGUAACGGGUAACGGGGAAUCAGGGUUCGAUUCCGGAGAGGGAGCCUGAGAAACGGCUACCACAUCCAAGGAAGGCAGCAGGCGCGCAAAUUACCCACUCCCGGC
This 481-nucleotide ribosomal RNA is filed under the name Cleogonus rubetra. Its description in RNAcentral is "SSU rRNA". It matches the Rfam family "Eukaryotic small subunit ribosomal RNA", at positions 1 to 455 of the family's 1831-position model. The record is from RNAcentral. Lineage: Eukaryota; Metazoa; Arthropoda; Insecta; Coleoptera; Curculionidae.